AGUGAACGCUGGCGGUAGGCCUAACACAUGCAAGUCGAACGAGUGGCGGACUUGUGAGCAAUACAUCGGAAUCUACGCUGUUGUGGUGGAUAACGUAGGGGAACUUACGCUAAUACCCCAUACUAUAGAAUGAGCCGAUGUCGGAUUAGCUAGUUGGCGGGGUAAAGGCCCACCAAGGCGACGAUCCGUAGCUGGUCUGAGAGGAUGAUCAGCCACACUGGAACGUAGACACGGUCGAGACUCCUACGGGAGGAAGCAGUGGGGAAUCUUGGACAAGGGGCGCAAGCCUGAUCCUGCCAUACCGCGUGGGUGAAGAAGGCCUGAGGGUUGUAAAGCCCUUUUGUUGGGAGAGCGGUACCCAAAGAAUAAGCACCGGCUAACUUCGUGCCAGCAGCCGCGGUAAUAC
This 406-nucleotide ribosomal RNA is filed under the name uncultured bacterium. RNAcentral describes it as "partial 16S ribosomal RNA". It matches the Rfam family "Bacterial small subunit ribosomal RNA", at positions 29 to 526 of the family's 1533-position model. The record is from RNAcentral.